CGUAGGGUCCAAGCGUUAUCCGGAAUCACUGGGCGUAAAGCGUGCGUAGGUGGAUGUUUAAGUGAGAUGUUAAAUCGUGUGGCUCAACCAUAUCGAUGCAUCUCAUACUGGGCAUCUAGAGGACGGCAGAGGCAAGUGGAAUUAGCAGUGUAGCAGUGAAAUGCGUAGAGAUUGCUAGGAACACCAAUGGCGAAGGCAGCUUGCUGGGCCACUCCUGACACUGAGGUACGAAAGCGUGGGGAGCGAACAGGAUUAGAUACCCUGGUAGUCCACGCCGUAAACGAUGCAUACUAGUCGUAUGGGGUAUCGACCCCCUGUGUGACGAAGCUAACGCGUUAAGUAUGCCGCCUGGGAAGUACGGCCGCAAGGCUA
This 372-nucleotide ribosomal RNA is filed under the name uncultured organism. RNAcentral's name for it is "bacterial SSU rRNA". It matches the Rfam family "Bacterial small subunit ribosomal RNA", at positions 526 to 896 of the family's 1533-position model. The record is from RNAcentral.